Molecule: small RNA, 71 nt
Filed under: Vibrio cholerae O1 biovar El Tor str. N16961
Lineage: Bacteria; Pseudomonadati; Pseudomonadota; Gammaproteobacteria; Vibrionales; Vibrionaceae
Source: RNAcentral
AAGCUUAACCCCCUAGCCUAGCUAGGGGGAGCUUUGAUACAAAAAUGGGGAAGUCUUGGCUUCCCCCACUU